RNAcentral lists this ribosomal RNA (253 nucleotides) under uncultured bacterium. RNAcentral's name for it is "partial 16S ribosomal RNA". It matches the Rfam family "Bacterial small subunit ribosomal RNA", at positions 524 to 776 of the family's 1533-position model. The record is from RNAcentral.
UACAGAGGGUGCAAGCGUUAAUCGGAAUCACUGGGCGUAAAGCGCACGUAGGCGGACUCUUAAGUCGGUGGUGAAAUCCUGGAGCUCAACUCCAGAACUGCCUUCGAUACUGAGAGUCUCGAGUCCGGGAGAGGUGAGUGGAACUGCGAGUGUAGAGGUGAAAUUCGUAGAUAUUCGCAAGAACACCAGUGGCGAAGGCGGCUCACUGGCCCGGUACUGACGCUGAGGUGCGAAAGCGUGGGGAGCAAACAGG